GAUGAACGCUGGCGGCGUGCCUAAUACAUGCAAGUCGAGCGAACGGACGAGAAGCUUGCUUCUCUGAUGUUAUCGGCGGACGGGAGAGUAACACGUGGAUAACCUACCUAUAAGACUGGGAUAACUUCGGGAAACCGGAGCUAAUACCGGAUAAUAUUUUGAACCGCAUGGUUCAAAAGUGAAAGACGGUCUUGCUGUCACUUAUAGAUGGAUCCGCGCUGCAUUAGCUAGUUGGUAAGGUAACGGCUUACCAAGGCAACGAUGCAUAGCCGACCUGAGAGGGUGAUCGGCCACACGGGAACUGAGACACGGUCCAGACUCCUACGGGAGGCAGCAGUAGGGAAUCUUACGCAAUGGGCGAAAGCCUGACGGAGCGAAGUCGCGUGAGUGAUGAAGGUCUUCGGAUCGUAAAACUCUGUUAUUAGGGAAGAACAUAUGUGUAAGUAACUGUGAACAUAUUGACGGUACCUAAUCAGAAAGCCACGGCUAACUACGUG
Molecule: ribosomal RNA, 497 nt
Filed under: uncultured bacterium
Lineage: Bacteria
Description: partial 16S ribosomal RNA
Rfam family: Bacterial small subunit ribosomal RNA
Source: RNAcentral